RNAcentral lists this ribosomal RNA (415 nucleotides) under uncultured bacterium. RNAcentral's name for it is "bacterial SSU rRNA". It matches the Rfam family "Bacterial small subunit ribosomal RNA", at positions 355 to 775 of the family's 1533-position model. The record is from RNAcentral.
UGAGGAAUUUUGCGCAAUGGGGGAAACCCUGACGCAGCGACGCCGCGUGAAGGAUGAAGGCCUUCGGGCCGUAAACUCCUGUCAGAGGUGAAGAAUGCCCGCAAGGGUUUGACGGUAACCUCAGAGGAAGCCCCGGCUAACUACGUGCCAGCAGCCGCGGUAAUACGUAGGGGGCAAACGUUACUCGGAAUUGCUGGGCGUAAAGGGUGCGUAGGCGGCUGGGAAAGUCAAGGAUGAAAUCCCGUGGCUCAACUGCGGAACGGUCCUUGAAACUACUCGGCUUGAGGAUAACCGAAGAGAACGGAAUUCCCGGUGGAGCGGUGAAAUGCGUAGAUAUCGGGAGGAACACCUGAGGCGAAAGCGGUUCUCUAGACUACUCCUGACGCUGAGGCACGAAAGCUAGGGGAGCAAACGG